Non-coding RNA from Elusimicrobia bacterium GWA2_66_18, 72 nucleotides. The record is from Rfam. Lineage: Bacteria; Pseudomonadati; Elusimicrobiota.
GCGCUCGUAACACAAAGGAUAGUGUGCUGCCCUGCGAAGGCAGAUAUCCAGGUUCGAUUCCUGGCGAGCGCA